CGGGACGGGUGAGUAACGCGUGGGUAACCUGCCUCACACAGGGGGAUAACAGUUGGAAACGGCUGCUAAUACCGCAUAAGCGCACAGUACCGCAUGGUACAGUGUGAAAAACUCCGGUGGUGUGAGAUGGACCCGCGUCUGAUUAGCUAGUUGGCAGGGCAACGGCCUACCAAGCCGACGAUCAGUAGCCGACCUGAGAGGGUGACCGGCCACAUUGGGACUGAGACACGGCCCAA
Molecule: ribosomal RNA, 236 nt
Filed under: uncultured bacterium
Lineage: Bacteria
Description: partial 16S ribosomal RNA
Rfam family: Bacterial small subunit ribosomal RNA
Source: RNAcentral